This 68-nucleotide transfer RNA is filed under the name Gymnotus sylvius. RNAcentral describes it as "tRNA-Glu". It matches the Rfam family "tRNA". Rfam says of the family: Transfer RNA (tRNA) molecules are approximately 80 nucleotides in length. The record is from RNAcentral. Lineage: Eukaryota; Metazoa; Chordata; Actinopteri; Gymnotiformes; Gymnotidae.
GUUCUUGUAGUUGAAUACAACGAUGGUUUUUCAAGUCAUAGGUCUCGGUUAAAGUCCGAGUAGGAAUA